RNAcentral lists this ribosomal RNA (402 nucleotides) under uncultured bacterium. RNAcentral's name for it is "bacterial SSU rRNA". It matches the Rfam family "Bacterial small subunit ribosomal RNA", at positions 29 to 431 of the family's 1533-position model. The record is from RNAcentral.
AUUGAACGCUGGCGGCGUGCCUAACACAUGCAAGUCGAGCGGUAACAGGUGUAGCAAUACAUGCUGACGAGCGGCGAACGGGUGAGUAAUGCUUCGGAAUCUACCCAAUGGUGGGGAAUAACCAGCCGAAAGGUUGGCUAAUACCGCAUACGUCCCACGGGAGAAAGCAGGGGAUCGCAAGACCUUGCGCCAAUGGAUGAGCCGAAGUCGGAUUAGCUAGUUGGAGGGUAACGGCCUACCAGGGCGACGAUCCGUAGCUGGUCUGAGAGGACGACCAGCCACACUGGGACUGAGACACGGCCCAGACUCCUACGGGAGGCAGCAGUGGGGAAUAUUGGACAAUGGGGGAAACCCUGAUCCAGCGACGCCGCGUGUGUGAAGAAGGCCUGCGGGUUGUAAAGC